Molecule: ribosomal RNA, 416 nt
Filed under: uncultured prokaryote
Description: bacterial SSU rRNA
Rfam family: Bacterial small subunit ribosomal RNA
Source: RNAcentral
UGGGGAAUUUUGCGCAAUGGGCGAAAGCCUGACGCAGCAACGCCGCGUGGAGGAUGAAGGCCUUCGGGUCGUAAACUCCUGUCAGUAGGGACGAACGCUUCGAAAGGAGCUUGACUGUACCUGCUGAGGAAGCCACGGCUAACUCCGUGCCAGCAGCCGCGGUCAUACGGAGGUGGCAAGCGUUGUUCGGAAUUAUUGGGCGUAAAGGGCGCGUAGGCGGCUUAGCAAGUCAGAUGUGAAAGCCCCGGGCUUAACUCGGGAAUUGCAGCUGAAACUGCUUUGCUUGAGUCCUGGAGGGGGUAGUGGAAUUCCCAGUGUAGCGGUGAAAUGCGUAGAUAUUGGGAGGAACACCGGCGGCGAAGGCGGCUACCUGGACAGUGACUGACGCUGAGGCGCGAAAGCUAGGGGAGCGAACG